RNAcentral lists this ribosomal RNA (448 nucleotides) under uncultured bacterium. RNAcentral's name for it is "partial 16S ribosomal RNA". It matches the Rfam family "Bacterial small subunit ribosomal RNA", at positions 29 to 523 of the family's 1533-position model. The record is from RNAcentral.
AACGAACGCUGGCGGCAUGCCUAACACAUGCAAGUCGAACGAGAUCUUCGGGUCUAGUGGCGCACGGGUGCGUAACGCGUGGGAAUCUGCCCUUUGGUUCGGAAUAACAGUUGGAAACGACUGCUAAUACCGGAUGAUGACGAAAGUCCAAAGAUUUAUCGCCAGAGGAUGAGCCCGCGUAGGAUUAGCUAGUUGGUGUGGUAAAGGCGCACCAAGGCGACGAUCCUUAGCUGGUCUGAGAGGAUGAUCAGCCACACUGGGACUGAGACACGGCCCAGACUCCUACGGGAGGCAGCAGUGGGGAAUAUUGGACAAUGGGCGAAAGCCUGAUCCAGCAAUGCCGCGUGAGUGAUGAAGGCCUGAGGGUUGUAAAGCUCUUUUACCCGGGAUGAUAAUGACAGUACCGGGAGAAUAAGCUCCGGCUAACUCCGUGCCAGCCGCGCAGUAA